GGCUGUGUAGUGUAGCGGUUAUCACUUCAGAUUCUGAUGAUGUAUUAAGCUCUUUGAAUUCUGGCGACCCCGGUUCGAUUCCGGGCACGGCCU
This is a non-coding RNA of Mycena rosella, 93 nucleotides long. The record is from the annotation of a GenBank genome assembly. NCBI's taxonomy places the organism in Eukaryota, Fungi, Basidiomycota, Agaricomycetes, Agaricales, Mycenaceae.